AGAGUUUGAUCAUGGCUCAGGAUGAACGCUAGCGGCAGGCCUAAUAACUGCAAGUCGAACGAGAUUAUCCAGCUUGCUGGAUAUGAAAGUGGCGCACGGGUGCGUAACGCGUAUGCAACCUACCUUAAUCAGGGGGAUAGCCCGAAGAAAUUCGGAUUAACACCGCAUAAAAACACAGGAUAGCAUUAUCCAAUGUUCAAAUAUUUAUAGGAUUAAGAUGGGCAUGCGUGUCAUUAGCUAGUUGGCGGGGUAACGGCCCACCAAGGCGACGAUGACUAGGGGAUCUGAGAGGAUGACCCCCCACACUGGUACUGAGACACGGACCAGACUCCUACGGGAGGCAGCAGUAAGGAAUAUUGGUCAAUGGAGGGAACUCUGAACCAGCCAUGCCGCGUGCAGGAAGACGGCCCUCUGGGUUGUAAACUGCUUUUAUUCGGGAAUAAACCUAUUUACGUGUAAAUAGCUGAAUGUACCGAAGGAAUAAGGAUCGGCUAACUCCGUGCCAGCAGCCGCGGUAAUACGGAGGAUCCAAGCGUUAUCCGGAUUUAUUGGGUUUAAAGGGUGCGUAGGCGGCUUAUUAAGUCAGGGGUGAAAGACGGUGGCUCAACCAUCGCAGUGCCCUUGAUACUGAUGAGCUUGAAUGGACUAGAGGUAGGCGGAAUGUGACAAGUAGCGGUGAAAUGCAUAGAUAUGUCACAGAACACCGAUUGCGAAGGCAGCUUACUAUGGUCUUAUUGACGCUGAGGCACGAAAGCGUGGGGAUCAAACAGGAUUAGAUACCCUGGUAGUCCACGCCCUAAACGAUGAAUACUCGCUGUUAGCGAUACACAGUUAGCGGCUAAGCGAAAGCGUUAAGUAUUCCACCUGGGGAGUACGCCCGCAAGGGUGAAACUCAAAGGAAUUGACGG
RNAcentral lists this ribosomal RNA (908 nucleotides) under Pedobacter sp. C4BS11_pA. RNAcentral describes it as "bacterial SSU rRNA". It matches the Rfam family "Bacterial small subunit ribosomal RNA", at positions 8 to 916 of the family's 1533-position model. The record is from RNAcentral. Lineage: Bacteria; Pseudomonadati; Bacteroidota; Sphingobacteriia; Sphingobacteriales; Sphingobacteriaceae.